CUCAGUAAUUGAAUUCAAAAUAAAUCUAAAUAAAACAAUGUUCAAUGUUUUAACUUAAAACAGUCAAAUAAACGUAAACUACUAAAAAUGCCCCUCGUCUACUUCCAUGGUAAGGAUGCAAAAUUUUGUU
Long non-coding RNA from Cucurbita moschata (crookneck pumpkin), 130 nucleotides. RefSeq lists it as uncharacterized. Lineage: Eukaryota; Viridiplantae; Streptophyta; Magnoliopsida; Cucurbitales; Cucurbitaceae. The transcript has 3 exons. The record is from RefSeq and is a predicted model, not a curated record.